UUAAGAAUGUUAUAAAGGCAUGUUUCUAAAUUAUUAUGUUCAUUUGAUCCAUGAUGUUGGAGUUGUUUGUACUUGUAAAUAUGUAGCUCAAAAUACCUGCAGCUGUAACUGAAAAAAAAUCUUGGUGCUUCUACAAAUUAAUGAUACAAGCCAUGGUUACAUAUGCAAACUUUUCAGUUUUCGCUUAGUAAAAUGAUGAAACCCAUUCUUCCUGUUGUCCCAGACUUUUGUGCUAGUCCUUCUCCUUAACAUUAGCUACAUAAGUUACUCAACAUGCUGUGCAUGUGAGCACUAACAUAAUUAGCAAUGCAUCACUUAUUGCAACGUAGUAAUGUUCUUCCGGACCUAAACCAUGCAGCAGGUGACACUCUGAUACAGAAAUUAAACCUGCCUGUCUUUUUCUCCUUUUCCAUUGUACGUAUUUAUGUUUAUGCCAGCAUUAUUCCAUUUGUGCUCCUUUUUUUCAGCCUCCUCCCUCUGAAUUAAAAAUAAUGUAUGACGCCCUGACAGAUCUUACUGCCAGAACAGGCUGCAGCUGUGGCAACCACAGGAAUCAGCAGGAUAGACCCGGUUUCAUCUGGAGCAGUGUCUCGUCAUCCUUGUUGCUCACGUCAUAAAGUGACGAUGUUGCUCUAAUUGCAUAAAAUGGUCAACUAAAGCCUAUUGAUUUGUAAUUUGGUGGGGCAUCUUUCAUAUACGCUGGAAAACAACUCAUCCUGCAGCCUGCAUACAGGAAGCCAGCACCAAACCAUGCAGCCUGCAUCCUUGAAGAAGGAGGGACUUGGGCAGUUCUGCUUUCUGAUUUUUGUGGCUUACUCCAUUUUCAGUGCUGCAUUCAUGAUAUAUUUUGUCCCAGAGACAAAGAAGAAGACCAUGACAGAGAUAAUGGAUGAUUUUAACAAACUGAACUACAAGAACAGAAGCAGUGGUAUCGAGAGAACAGACAUUUCAACUAAAUUGUAAUUUCUUACUUCAAAUUUGCCUUUUGAACAUCAAGUUUUAGGAAAAUAAAAUGUGUCUAAUUUCUUGUUUGCAAUCAAGUCUUGCUUUAUCAUUUAUAUAUAUUUUUAUCUACAUAUAUAAGCCACAAUAGUUAUAUUGAUUUCCAUGUCUGAAAUCAAUAAAAGUGUGUAAAAAAAAAAAAAGAAAAAAAGCAGUAAGUAAAUGAGCCUUAAAGCAGCCAAAUUCAAAUAUGAAUUCGUAGGGGAAAAUGUACUUGGUGAUUUUUCCAGAGAGGAGGGAAGAGAGGGAAAUGUUGUCUAGCAGUAGUAGCUUGGAGACUAAAGUAAACUGGCACACCGCUCUGAAAAUUAAAAGUGAUAUGUCGUGAGCCAGGUGUACUUGUAAUUUACUACGAUGGCUACAGUCUACUUGUUAUUCAAAAUAAUUAAUUGAGGUAGAAUUACUUUAGUUCUGACUAAUAUUGCGCCUCUGAUGUACACAAGUCAAAUUUCUCUCAGGUUUCUCCCAACAAUUUUGUCACCAGGAUAACCUUUUCUAGACUAUGAAAAUGUUCCAGUGUGCAACAGCAAGUCCAGCUCUGAGUGUCUUUACAAAAAAAAACACAAAUAAAGUGAACAAAUGAAAGCUUCCAAGUGGCAUAAUCAAAGUUCAGGCGAAAUAACUACUUAAUAUUCACAGGACAAGUGUUUGGAGAUUUUCAGCUGCAAUUUAUUUGAUUCUCAUCUCUAAACCAAGAAUUUGAGACGAGACUCAAUAACAGAGUACAAAAACAAAUAUCUAUAGAAAAGUAAGCUCAUAAUGAAAUAUGUCCAGACGUCAUAACAAAACACAAAGUUCAAGUGUUUUUAAGAGCAAUCCCGUCGAGUACAAUGCGCUUUUUAUACAAAAGUGUCAAUGCAAGUCACUCUGUACAAUUUUUACCCUUUAGAAAAGAAAAAGGACCAUUUUAUUUUUAUUAAUCCACUGCUGAGCACAAUCAGUAUUUGGAAGGCACUUUGCAACAGACAAAAAGCAGAAAGCAAAACAUUUAACCCAAAACAAUUAAUUAAUGUCAUAAUUCAAUUUUGGGAACGAAUAAACAGAUCAUAUAUUCCUAAUAAUGUCUAAAACAAAGGUUUAUUAUUUCUUUACAGCAUAUUCCAGGUGUUUUAAACAGUAAAUGUAACAAAGCCUUUAAAUGAGGAAAUACCAGUGCAGAAUGGGUAAAGAGAAAAAGAAAAAGCUUGGUCACAGAGUCGAGCAGCUGGCAGUGUGAGCGCUACCACGGCAACGUGAUAGAUAGUUCAGUGUAACUAAUAUAAACGACUACAGCCACCAACCAGUGAUCGACAUUCAGCCCCCAGCUCAGCUUGCAUGCCUGAACUUUACACUUCAGAUGGCCAUAACUUAACAUCCCUCCCAACAACACAAGAAACUAAACCAUAAUAUGUACAAAACUCACCACUUACAAACACAGAUCAAACAGGUCGGUUCAUAUAUUUAUCUAUUUAUAUAUAUAUUUAUAAAGAGAGAGAGUGUGUAUAGGUGGGGGUGUGUGUGCGUGUAUGGGAGGUAUAUACACUUGUUACAAUCACAAUAUAACCAUAAAUAAUAUAGGAAUGUACUAAAAUACUCACAAAUAAUUAACAGCAUACACUGAGAUCCAUCAUCCACUCACCACAUACACACACCAUCAGCCCUUCACUGCUAGACUGAGUCUGAUUUGCAUCGCAAUACACGUCUUCAACAAAAAUAAACAAAUAUGAGAAUAAAUUCGAUGCGUGGAGUUUAGUGGAUGCUUCGCAACCGUAUGGAUAUCACAGAGCGAAACUCUGUGCUCAAAACGUUUCAUUGUACUUCAGCUUCAAAUAUUUACAGGAAAACGUAAGGGAGGCGAGUUAUGAUUAGGGCUGCGGUGGAGCAGCAAUUAGGUAAAUCCAGAAAUGCGGUAGAAUCAGGUGCUUUUGAGGAAGAGCCAAAUGACUUAAAACAUAAAUGUUUACUGGCUUUUAUUCCUGCUGAGCUUUGAGUGAUGAAUAAACCAAACUGAGGGUUUGAAAAUAAACUGACUGGAUGUGAUUUUAGCCAUUAAUUUACAAAACGUUUGAUGCCUUUGACAUGAAUCAAGCAUACCCAUUAAAUAUGUUGCAUAAUUCCUCAUGUCCCCACAAAAAAGAGGUUUUCAAUCAACUGCUUGUUUGUCUCUGCCACAUAAACGCAUCACUUAAGAAUCAAUCGUGUAACAUCCAACCCAAGAAAGCAGCCGCUAAUGUAAAGAGAUCCAUAGCAACAGGACGCAGCACAAACGGCUCUGAGCACAAGAUGAAGAGGAAGAGGGAAAGUCCAUGUGAUGAAGGUGUAAAACCAUUGACCAGGUGGCUCUGUCAGCUGCGACUCGUUCCCUCGGCGAAGCGUCCCAACACCUCUUCCACAACACACAUAUUCACGCCUCCGUUUACCAUAAAUUAAAAGUGAAAACACAAGAAUAAAACAAGAUUUUUGACAGUAAAUUAAAAAAAAAACAACAACACAAAACUCAGAGUAUGAAUAAGUUAUUAAAAUAUAAUCUACAUCUUUUAAAAUACAUAAGGAAAAUAUACCUGAUCUUGGUCCCCGUUUCAUGCAUUUAACUCAUUCAAGAAACUAACACAAAGACCGACAUUAUCCAGACCUUCUAUUUAAAUCGGUUUGCGAAUCCCCAAUUUCCUCUUUUAGUCUCCUCCUCUGUUUGGACGCGUUUUAGUGAAAUUAAGAAAUGUAAUCAAAGUAGGACUUCUGGUUCAGCAGUAUCAAAUAGAGAGGAGAUUUUCUUAAAAAAGAGUCAGAUCAUUGUCCAUUUAAUAAACUCUAGCCAUGUUUGUCUAAAUUUAAAUCAAUGCAUGACUUUUCUUCCUUGAAUUUUUUUUUCUCCUUUUAAACAAUUUAUUGAGCACAUAAAACAUAAACAAAGAGAAUCCCUUUGAAAAGUGCUUCUUAACUGUGUGAGGGUGUUUAAAA
Long non-coding RNA from Xiphophorus maculatus (southern platyfish), 3939 nucleotides. RefSeq lists it as uncharacterized. NCBI's taxonomy places the organism in Eukaryota, Metazoa, Chordata, Actinopteri, Cyprinodontiformes, Poeciliidae. The record is from RefSeq and is a predicted model, not a curated record. The transcript is spliced from 2 exons.